CGCACUCCAAGGCCCGGAUUCGAUCCCCACCUCAUGACCUCCGGAUUGGCGCAGGGGGCGACGAGGCGGUGGUGCGUCGCGAGGGGAAGCGACGGUGCAGCACGAGACGGCGGCGGCUGCUCCCAUCCAUCGUCCAUGCUCUUCGCCACCUUCUCGCCGUUCUUGGCGGCGGUGUUCCUCCUCCGGGCUUAUCCUCUUGGCCUUCGCGUCGCCGUCCCCCAUGGCGGGAUCUCCUCUCCGGACACAGGCCUGCUGCUAUUGGAUCGGCACGGCAAACAAAGAAAUAAAAUCCUCACGAAACCUAACUAGGAAAGCACUUUGUGAUGGCCGUCGUGCUCGCUGACUCGUUCAAGUACCUGUGCCGUGCAGUGGAGCUGAUCCAUGAUCAUUAGUUAUCCUAUUCCAUGCAGAAAAUUAUCUUGUGUUUUUCUGUUCUGUAAAGUUUUUUGUUUGCUUAGCUCCAAUCCCGUUUUGUUCUGCAUGAAUGAACCUCAAUGUUCUGUGAAGAAAGCUCGGAUAGCAUCGUGUCAGUUUGUGUUAGUCUUCAGGCAUCACCACCAUUCUUUAAUCCUUUGCCUACUUUCUACAAAGCUAACUACGGUUGAUGCUUAGCUACUUGCAAAGACUGAAGGAUGCUGCGCCUAUGCUCAUAGGAGUUGACAGUUUCAGACAUGAGUUGGUAGGCUUUCAUGCAUCUACUAGCCUUGCUUGUUGAUUCAGUUCCUGUCUGAACACUCCGCUGUUAUCACAACUCCAGUUACUUGCUUUUAACCAUCUACUUGCUGUGAGGGAGUUCAUGUGCUA
Long non-coding RNA from Panicum virgatum (switchgrass), 804 nucleotides. RefSeq lists it as uncharacterized. The record is from RefSeq and is a predicted model, not a curated record. The transcript is spliced from 2 exons. Lineage: Eukaryota; Viridiplantae; Streptophyta; Magnoliopsida; Poales; Poaceae.